GUCAGAAUGCAAAAGUAGCACUUAAGCAAAGGGCCCUAGGCGUGGACCUGAGUUCCAGUGGGAGAAAAGAGCUUGAGAAACAGCAAGCCACUGCUAUGCCCAGGAGAAAGAUGGCCUCAGUGUGGCCCGAGCCGCAGCAGCCUGGGAUGAUUGCAGAUUUGGGUCUCCCUGGAGGUCACUCACACAAACACCCUCCCAGCCCAGCACUGGGUCCCUGCCCUGUGCAGCGUAGUACGUAGGUGUCUGCAGAUACCUCUGAUGACUCCUCCUUGGCCUCGCCCUCCAGUGCACCAUCAGCGGGGAAUUUCUGGCUCCAGGAAGAAAGUGUGAUUAGCGGAAGAAGAGCAUGUGGAGCCAAUUUCUCUCCUGCUCCCUGGUUCUUCCUCAGCUUGCUGAGUCAGACCCUAACCCUUAAAAGAAAUAAAAAACACAGGUUCUUUCUGCUACCCUGUCUCAUCUGAUAUCCCAG
This 469-nucleotide long non-coding RNA is filed under the name Chinchilla lanigera (long-tailed chinchilla). Its description in RNAcentral is "lncRNA (ENSCLAG00000026029.1)". The record is from RNAcentral. Lineage: Eukaryota; Metazoa; Chordata; Mammalia; Rodentia; Chinchillidae.